Molecule: ribosomal RNA, 808 nt
Filed under: Dacryopinax spathularia
Lineage: Eukaryota; Fungi; Basidiomycota; Dacrymycetes; Dacrymycetales; Dacrymycetaceae
Description: partial large subunit ribosomal RNA
Rfam family: Eukaryotic large subunit ribosomal RNA
Source: RNAcentral
GUAACUGCGAGUGAAGCGGGAAAAGCUCAAAUUUAAAAUCCCUUCUGGGAGUUGUAAUCUAGAGACGUGUUUUCGGUCGUUGCCUCGGACAAGUCCCUUGGAAUAGGGCGUCAUAGAGGGUGAGAAUCCCGUACUUGCCGAGCUCCCAAUGACUAUGUGAUACACGUUCGAAGAGUCGAGUUGUUUGGGAAUGCAGCUCAAAAUGGGUGGUAAACUCCAUCUAAAGCUAAAUAUUGGCGAGAGACCGAUAGCGAACAAGUACCGUGAGGGAAAGAUGAAAAGCACUUUGGAAAGAGAGUUAAACAGUACGUGAAAUUGUUGAAAGGGAAGCGCUUGAAGUCAGUCGCGUUGCAGGGACUCAGCCGUCAAGGUGCAUUUCUCUGCAACGGGUCAACAUCAAUUUCGGCCGCGGGAAAAGGGCUUGGGGAAUGUGGCAGCUUCGGCUGUGUUAUAGCCUCUUGUCGUACACCGCGGCCGGGAUUGAGGACUGCUAUUACAGGAUGUUGACAAAAUGGCUUUAAGCGACCCGUCUUGAAACACGGACCAAGGAGUCUAACAUGUCUGCGAGUGUUCGGGUGUCAAACCCGUGCGCGUAAUGAAAGUAAACGUAGGUGGGAGGCUUCGGCCGCACCAUCGACCGAUCCGGAUCUCUUGUGAUGGAUUUGAGUAAGAGCAUAUAUGUUGGGACCCGAAAGAUGGUGAACUAUGCCUGAAUAGGGCGAAGCCAGAGGAAACUCUGGUGGAGGCUCGUAGCGAUUCUGACGUGCAAAUCGAUCGUCAAAUUUGGGUAUAGGGGCGAAAGACUAAU